This 433-nucleotide ribosomal RNA is filed under the name uncultured bacterium. Its description in RNAcentral is "partial 16S ribosomal RNA". It matches the Rfam family "Bacterial small subunit ribosomal RNA", at positions 29 to 507 of the family's 1533-position model. The record is from RNAcentral.
AACGAACGCUGGCGGCAUGCCUAACACAUGCAAGUCGAACGAGACCUUCGGGUCUAUUGGCGCACGUGUGCGUAAGGCGUGGGAACCUGCCCUUAGGUUCGGAAUAACUCCCCGAAAGGGGUGCUAAUACCGGAUAAUCUCUUCGGACCAAAGAUUUAUCGCUUUUGGGUGGGCCCGCGUUGGAUUAGCUAGUUGGUAGGGUAAAAGCCUACCAACGCGACGAUCGAUAGCUGGUCUGAGAGGAUGCUCAGCCACACUGGGACUGAUACACGGCCCAGAAUCCUACGGAGGGCAGCAGUAGGGAAUACUGGACAAGGGAAGAAAGCCUGACACAGCCACGCCGCGUGAGUGAUCAAGGCCUUAGGGUUGCAAAGCCCUCUUACACGGGCUGAUAAUGACAGUACCGGGAGAAUAAGCUCCGGCUAACUCCGUG